RNAcentral lists this ribosomal RNA (440 nucleotides) under uncultured bacterium. RNAcentral describes it as "partial 16S ribosomal RNA". It matches the Rfam family "Bacterial small subunit ribosomal RNA", at positions 338 to 795 of the family's 1533-position model. The record is from RNAcentral.
CCUACGGGGGGCAACAGUGGGGAAUAUUGCACAAUGGGGGAAACCCUGAUGCAGCGACGCCGCGUGAGUGAAGAAGUAUCUCGGUACGUAAAGCUCUAUCAGCAGGGAAGAAAAUGACGGUACCUGACUACUACGCCCCGGCUAACUACGUGCCAGCCGCCGCGGUAAUACGUAGGGGGCAAGCGUUAUCCGGAUUUACUGGGUGUAACGGGAGCGUAGACGGGAGCACAAGUCUGGAGUGAAAUCCCGGGGCUUAACCCCGGAACUGCUUUGGAAACUGUGCGGCUGGAGUGCAGGAGUGGUAAGCGGAAGUACUAGUGUAGCGGUGAAAUGCGUAGAUAUUAGGAGGAACACCGGUGGCGAAGGCGGCUUACUGGACUGUAACUGACGUUGAGGCUCGAAAGCGUGGGGAGCAAACAGGAUUAGAUACCCCAGUAGUC